CAAUAGCGUAUAUUUAAGUUGUUGCAGUUAAAAAGCUCGUAGUCGGAUUUUGGCUGAGAACGAUCGGUCCGCCGUUAGGUGUGCACUGAUUGGUCUCAGCUUCCUGGUGAGGAGGUGUGCUUCACGGCCACUUAGUCACCGUGGUCACUUUGAAAAAAUUAGAGUGUUCAAAGCGGGCUUACGCUUGAAUAUAUUAGCAUGGAAUAACACCAUAGGACUCCUGUCCUAUUUCGUUGGUCACGGGACGGGAGUAAUGAUUAAGAGGAACAGUUGGGGGCAUUCGUAUUUCAUUGUCAGAGGUGAAAUUCUUGGAUUUAUGAAAGACGAACUUCUGCGAAAGCAUUUGCCAAGGAUGUUUUCAUUGA
RNAcentral lists this ribosomal RNA (365 nucleotides) under uncultured eukaryote. Its description in RNAcentral is "partial 18S ribosomal RNA". It matches the Rfam family "Eukaryotic small subunit ribosomal RNA", at positions 592 to 976 of the family's 1831-position model. The record is from RNAcentral.